GGAGAGCUGGCCGAGUCCGGUUUAAGGCAGCGGAGUGCUAAUCCGCAGCAGGGAUGAAUGUCUCUGCCGAGGGUUCGAAUCCCUCGCUCUCCU
This 93-nucleotide transfer RNA is filed under the name Paractinoplanes atraurantiacus. Its description in RNAcentral is "Actinoplanes sp. Y16 tRNA". It matches the Rfam family "tRNA". Rfam says of the family: Transfer RNA (tRNA) molecules are approximately 80 nucleotides in length. Lineage: Bacteria; Bacillati; Actinomycetota; Actinomycetes; Micromonosporales; Micromonosporaceae. The record is from Rfam by way of RNAcentral.